This 1132-nucleotide ribosomal RNA is filed under the name uncultured bacterium. RNAcentral's name for it is "bacterial SSU rRNA". It matches the Rfam family "Bacterial small subunit ribosomal RNA", at positions 34 to 1194 of the family's 1533-position model. The record is from RNAcentral.
GGAUGGUCGAAUGCUUACACAUGCAGUCGAUUCAAGUUACCUUCGGGUAACGAGGAUGGCGGACGGGUGAGUAACGCGUAAGGAACUUGCCUCUUGGUCUGGGACAACUGUUGGAAACGACAGCUAAUACCGGAUAUUAUGAGAUUCUCGCAUGAGAAACUUAUGAAAGCUAUAUGCGCCAAGAGAGAGCCUUGCGUUCCAUUAGCUAGUUGGUGGGGUAACGGCCCACCAAGACGACGAUGGAUAGCCGGCCUGAGAGGGUGAACGGCCACAAGGGGACUGAGACACGGCCCUUACUCCUACGGGAGGCAGCAGUGGGGAAUAUUGGACAAUGGGCCACAAGCCUGAUCCAGCAAUUCUGUGUGCACGAUGAAGGUCUUCGGAUUGUAAAGUGCUUUCAGUUGGGAAGAAGAAAGUGACGGUACCAACAGAAGAAGCGACGGCUAAAUACGUGCCAGCAGCCGCGGUAAUACGUAUGUCGCAAGCGUUAUCCGGAUUUAUUGGGCGUAAAGCGCGUCUAGGCGGAAAAAUAAGUCUGAUGUUAAAAUGCGGGGCUCAACUCCGUAUUGCGUUGGAAACUGUUUUUCUAGAGUACUGGAGAGGUGGGCGGAACUACAAGUGUAGAGGUGAAAUUCGUAGAUAUUUGUAGGAAUGCCGAUGGAGAAGUCAGCUCACUGGACAGAUACUGACGCUGAAGCGCGAAAGCGUGGGGAGCAAACAGGAUUAGAUACCCUGGUAGUCCACGCCGUAAACGAUGAUCACUAGGUGUUGGGGGUCGAAUCUCAGCGCCCAAGCUAACGCGAUAAGUGAUCCGCCUGGGGAGUACGCACGCAAGUGUGAAACUCAAAGGAAUUGACGGGGACCCGCACAAGCGGUGGAGCAUGUGGUUUAAUUCGACGCAACGCGAGAAACCUUACCAGCGUUUGACAUCCUAAGAAGUUUCCAGAGAUGGAUUCGUGCCGGCUUGCCGGAACUUAUUGACAGGUGGAGCAUGGCUGGCUGCAGCUCUAGGCGGGAGAGGUGGGUUUAGGCCCGCUACGAGCGCACCCCGAUUGUAGGUUGCUACCUUUAGGUGAGACCUCUGGCGAUCUGCCGCGAUGGCUGCGCGAGGUUGGCAAUUGGGUGAGUGUUC